Pocillopora damicornis (cauliflower coral) is the source of this 1233-nucleotide long non-coding RNA. Lineage: Eukaryota; Metazoa; Cnidaria; Anthozoa; Scleractinia; Pocilloporidae. The record is from RefSeq and is a predicted model, not a curated record.
GACAGGCGUUAAGUCCACAAAACAGUACUGGACUUAAACAACGGAAAACUCUGUUGAAUUGUAAGAAACUGAUAGCGGAUUCCACGUCACUUCCACAUCCUAUGUGGGGGCAGGGCCGGGGUCUCUAUAAAAUUCUGACGGUUAUCGCUUCAAUUCACUGAAAAACAAACACUGAUCCGGUAAGGACAGAUCAGAGUUAACAACGGGUCGAUCAAGUUAACUUCAUCUUAAAAACCCAAGCGACUGUCUUGGCUUAAUCAAUACCUUGCAUUCCACAAUCCAAAAGUAAACUUUUAAAACGACUCCUACGAUGAACCGAAAGCUACUCGCUGCGUUAGCAAUUGUAACAUUUCUCACGAUAGCUGACCUUAGCAACAGAACUGCUUGUGAAGCGAAACAGCGGCGCCGAAGGUUCACGUGGCAUGGAAGACGUUUGAUCUCACAUCGACCGACAAAGUCUGCAUCGAAUGGAAAUAGCCAGGUGAACAUGAAUUCUCAAAAGCCAGCAGAUAAUGAUGACACAACACAAAAACAAGACUUUGAUAAUGAAGAACAGGUUGGAAAAUUCUACGCUGAAGUGUUUGGAAGUGGUGAUAUGCGUCAACCACACGAACCUUGAUUUUUUACGAAGAUUAGAGAUGUAAAAUGGAGUCGACAUAAAUAUAGUUUUUUAAAUGUUUUAAAUUCAUUAUAUUUAAUUAAAGUUAGGAAAUUGUAUUAUUUAACUGAUUCAUUAAAGAGGAUAAUUUGUGCGUCUUGAAACAUUUCAUGAAAAAUCUUCACGAUCAUCGUCUGCAAUCUUCAUAAGUCUCCUUUGUCUCUAAAACGUUAUCACCGUAAUCCAGACUAAAACCGAAAAUGUUACACGGCUUUUCCAUAAAAAAAUAUUUAAAUUUACUGAAACAAGCUUAUCUUUACGUUUACAAAUGAGGAGACUGAAAGUUACAAACUUUUCUAGGCGGUCCUACAAAAUACAAACUGUCUUUUAAAAUACACUAAACGGAGUGGUUUUUAGCCGGGGCUAUUGCACAUAACAAUGAAGAAAGAAGUCGUGCAACAGUUCUGAAUUUGGCAUGGCUUUAUUCUAGUGCUUUUCCAUCUCAUAGAAAUUAAAAAUGAAAACCAAACCGAACGAAAGAAAGUUGCAAGGUAAUUAGUUGAGUACAAAAGCCAGCAACAGUUUGUACGCAAUUGAAGCUCACUUUGUAGAUUCAAAAUAAUUCGAAAAUAAAG